AAAGUCGUAACAAGGUCUCCGUUGGUGAACCAGCGGAGGGAUCAUUAUCGAGUUUACAACUCCCAAACCCACUGUGAACCGUACCUACCGUUGCUUCGGCGGGACAGCCCCGGUGCCCUCGCGGUCCGGAACCAGGCCCCCGCCGGAGGACCCCCAAACCUCUGUUUUCCAUACCCAUGGUACUUUUUUCUGAGUGGCGAAAGCACAAAAAUAAUUAAAACUUUCAACAACGGAUCUCUUGGUUCUG
This 247-nucleotide unclassified non-coding RNA is filed under the name Ascomycota sp. RNAcentral's name for it is "partial contains small subunit ribosomal RNA, internal transcribed spacer 1, and 5.8S ribosomal RNA". The stretch from base 1 to 47 matches the Rfam family "Eukaryotic small subunit ribosomal RNA", at positions 1785 to 1831 of the family's 1831-position model. Lineage: Eukaryota; Fungi; Ascomycota. The record is from RNAcentral.